RNAcentral lists this ribosomal RNA (406 nucleotides) under uncultured bacterium. Its description in RNAcentral is "partial 16S ribosomal RNA". It matches the Rfam family "Bacterial small subunit ribosomal RNA", at positions 30 to 526 of the family's 1533-position model. The record is from RNAcentral.
AUUGAACGCUGGCGGCAGGCCUAACACAUGCAAGUCGAACGAGUGGCGGACGGGUGAGUAAUGUCUGGGAAACUGCCUGAUGGAGGGGGAUAACUACUGGAAACGGUAGCUAAUACCGCAUACCAUCGGAUGUGCCCAGAUGGGAUUAGCUUUGUGGUGGGGUAACGGCUCACCAAGGCGAAGAUCCCUAGCUGGUCUGAGAGGAUGACCAGCCACACUGGAACUGAGACACGGUCCAGACUCCUACGGGAGGCAGCAGUAGGGAAUAUUGCACAAUGGGCGAAAGCCUGAUGGAGCCAUGCCGCGUGUAUGAAGAAGGCCUUCGGGUUGUAAAGUACUUUCGGCGGGGAGGCGGUACCCGCAGAAGAAGCACCGGCUAACUCCGUGCCAGCAGCCGCGGUAAUAC